Molecule: ribosomal RNA, 483 nt
Filed under: uncultured bacterium
Lineage: Bacteria
Description: partial 16S ribosomal RNA
Rfam family: Bacterial small subunit ribosomal RNA
Source: RNAcentral
UUGAACGCUGGCGGCAGGCCUAACACAUGCACGUCGAGCGGAUGAAGGGAGCUUGCUCCUGGAUUCAGCGGCGGACGGGUGAGUAAUGCCUAGGAAUCUGCCUGGUAGUGGGGGAUAACGUCCGGAAACGGGCGCUAAUACCGCAUACGUCCUGAGGGAGAAAGUGGGGGAUCUUCGGACCUCACGCUAUCAGAUGAGCCUAGGUCGGAUUAGCUAGUUGGUGGGGUAAAGGCCUACCAAGGCGACGAUCCGUAACUGGUCUGAGAGGAUGAUCAGUCACACUGGAACUGAGACACGGUCCAGACUCCUACGAGAAGCAGCAGUGGGGAAUAUUAGAGCAUGGGCGAAAGCCUGAUCCAGCCAUGCCGCGUGUGUGAAGAAGGUCUUCGGAUUGUAAAGCACUUUAAGUUGGGAGGAAGGGCAGUAAGUUAAUACCUUGCUGUUUUGACGUUACCAACAGAAUAAGCACCGGCUAACUUCGUG